RNAcentral lists this unclassified non-coding RNA (4456 nucleotides) under Leishmania donovani. Lineage: Eukaryota; Euglenozoa; Kinetoplastea; Trypanosomatida; Trypanosomatidae. The record is from RNAcentral.
AUAUAUGCGAGCGUCCGAACACCUCCUCUCUUCUCUCCGCGAGUGAACAAGGUCACGGAGGUCGGCUCUCGAAUACGUAACAACGAAAUACCAUCACAGGCUUGCAGGCAAAGAUCACCACACACACACACUCUCUCUCGCAGCAGCAACGGCGUUCGGCUAGAGGCACCCCAGGACCUCACCCUGCACACACACACACACACGCACGCACACACAGCAAUGCCCACCGCUGCCACAGGAAAGUCGGCGAUGCCUUACCCAAACGAAAGCGCGCACGGGCACGAGUGGGAGUACGACUCCCCGAACAGAGACGGUGCGGAGCUUCUCGAGGAGCAGGCGUACGCUGCCGAGGUAGAGGGCCCCAAAAAGAAAGCGGCAGCCACUUCGGAAGACUCGCAGAAAGGAGUGGACCCGUUCGACUUCUCAGUCAACAGCCCAGAACAGCGCAUUGCCCGCAUGGACCGCGAGCGGGCGGAGCGGGUGCAACGCCGUCGCACGGAGCUCAAUUUCUUUCAGCGGUGGUUUAGUUACAUCCUCCCCUAUGGCGGCGUCGUGGCCUCUGGCAUCAACCUCGCCAGCUCUUGCAUUGGCGCGGGUAUUAUCGCGCUGCCCUCCGCCUUCAACGCCGCAGGCAUUAUCGUGGCCAUGAUCUACAUGGUGGUCAUCGCCUACCUCACCAUCUACUCAUACAUACUCCUCGCCAUUGUCGCGAAGAAAACGGGACUGCGCAACUACGAGCAGAUCGUGCGCACGCUGAUGGGCCCCGGCGCAGGCUACUUCCUCGCCUUCUGCCUCUGGUUUCUCAGCUUUGGUGCGGAGGUGUCGUACGCGAUUUCGCUGAAGGAUGUGCUGACGGCCUUCCUGGACGCGUCGGAGACUGCUCCGGCGUACCUCCAGACGCUCUCCGGUCAGCGUGUCAUGACGUUUGUGCUGUGGCUCGUGGCCAUGCUGCCGCUGUGUCUGCCGAAGGAGAUCAACUCGCUGCGCUACUUCUCCUGCGUCGCGAUCUGCUUCGUCGUUUACUUUGCGAUCGCCAUGGUGAUACACAGCGGCGUGAACGGCCUGCAAGAGAACCCCCGCCCUGCUGUGAAACUCUUCAACCAGGGCAACACCGCCAUCGGUGGCCUGGCCACUUUUCUCUUCGCCUUUAUCUCGCAGCUCAACGCGAUGGAGGUGGCGGGUGAGAUGCACAAGUUUUCGGUGCGCCGCAUGUCGAUCGCAUCCGCGAUUGGAGUUUGUAUUUGCUUUGUGCUGUACUUCUUUGCUGGUCUCUUCGGCUACCUGGACUUCGGCCCGAAGGUCACCGGCUCGGCGCUGAAGCAGUACAACCCCGUCAAGGAUACAAUGAUGGGUGUCGGUUACGGUGGCCUCAUGUUGAAGCUGUGCGUCGGCUACGGUCUGCACAUGAUCCCGGUUCGUGAUGCCAUCUACUACGUGUGCCAGACAAACGUGCACAACAUCGCCUGGUGGAAGAACGCGUGCGUGUGCGGGUCAAUGGCCGUAUUGUCGCUCAUCUGCGGUCUCUUCGUGCCUCGCAUCAACGUCGUCUUUGGACUCGUCGGUGGCUUCUCUGGCGGCUUCAUUGGCUACAUCUACCCAGCGCUCAUGGUCAUGUACUCCGGCAACUGGACCUUCUCGAGCGCUGGUUUCUUCCACUACGUCUGCACCUACCUGCUGCUUUUUGUUGGCGUCAUAGCUGUAGUCUGGGGUACCAGCGCCGCCAUUUUUGACGAGGUCAUGGCACAGCGCGGCUAAGCGGGCUAUCCCUGACCCGCGUGGGCGUGUCUUCCGCGAUUCACCUCACUUUUUUCGGCUCGCUCCUUUUCUUUGUCACCGGCACACACGAACUCGCACACACGCGUCUCUCGCUGCGUUUCCCUGCUGCGUGCGCUCUCCACCGAGUGCACCGUUGUUUUUUCCUUCUUCGUUUUUAAUGUCUCUCUCUCUCUCUCGAUCUCUCUUUUCCUCGCUGUUGUCGUUUUUUUUUUCUUCGUUGUUGGCCAAAUCGACAUACCGAUGCAGGGACGCAGGAUGGCCGAUGGCCCCAGAAAGGCGGGGAGAAGGUUUAGGGCUGCAACGGCGCAAGGAUGGAUGGUCGCGACGGGGUGGGAGGAGUGAUCUAAGCAUUGACCGUUGUUGCUCAGGGCAGUUGAUCGCCCCCUGGCUGGCACUUGUGUGGGCACAUUGGUGCAACCGCAGCUGCGCACGAUGCUGUGACCGUUGAGCGGUGUCGCACUGCCACCAUGCCCUUCAAGGUCUGGCCUCCAUUCACUCGCUCUCUCUUACCCUUCGACUAAUUUAGCGCCCGCAAUGUUGUUUGCUUGAGAACGGAAGUGAGGGCUCCCCACCACCGUCUUCUGCCCCAGCAGCGCUGCACCUCGCCGACAGGCACCUCGUGUGCCUCCUUGCAUACCCCCUCCUCCUCCUCCUCCCUCUUGCCUGGGCAUUUCAGGAUCAUCCGAAAGUCUGAUUGACUCCGCUCUCCCUCUAUAUGUGCCGCGCAUCUCCGUGCCCACUGUGGCUCGAUGUGCAUGUGCGAGUGGACGUUCAGCCCAGCGUGAGAGGCGCGGGCCUUGCACCGCGUACACGCAUGCACGUAUAUGCGUUUUUUCACCUCUGUGCGUUUUCCCUCACGCUUCUUGUCCCUGCGAAGUGUUUGGUCUGAUCUCCCUCUCCAUCUCCCCGGACUCAGCGAAAAGGACAGCACCACCGCCCCCCUCCCCUCCCUCAAGCCUGUGAGCUGGUGCUUCGCCGCCACGACCGCACACUCACACAGAUGAGUGAUCGCGCACAUGCCAGCGCAGCGUUGCCUCCCCUGUUCUUUUUUUUUUCGCGGCGGCGAUAUAAAGCGAGCAAUCAACCGAUAAUGACCCACCUUGUUGUACACUUCUAAGAACGCGGCUGUUCCUUCGUUUUUCCUCAUCCCUCCUGCCCCCCUCCCUCGUCGUUCCAAGGAGUAGGUGGAAGGCGUGGGCAGCGACAACACGUGUUCAUGGUGGCGUCCACAGCUUGCUUGCGAGGAAAGACAGAGGUGCCUUCUUUUCAUGUCCGUCUUGCUCUCUCCUUCUCUCCCUCCCCUUCUGUCAGGAGGGGAGAAGAGCGAACGCAGCGGACAAGGCGAAAUUCAAAAAAGAAAUGCGCCCCGCCUUCCCUACCGGCCCUCUCUUGCGCAGUUUCGUGUGUGAAUGUUGUGUUCCCUGUAAUUUUGAGCUCCCUCUCCCCUCCCCUUCCCCUCCCCUCUCUCUUUGCCUCUCUCUUUUAUUCGAACUCUUUUCUGUCGGAAUGCCAUUCCUGUGGUGCUUCCUCGCCCUCCCUCCCCCCUUUUCAUUUUUCCGUUGUAUCUCUCUCUAUUUCUCUAUUUCUUUCUCCCUCACACAGACGCGCAUGUCUUUCAGGUGUCUUACUUCCGUCGAGCCAGGAGCGUCUGUCGCUGAGACCUUCCCUCCGCCUACUCAUCUCUGACGAACCAACUGCGUAUGUUUUCCCAGGUUUAUCUUGUUUGACGUUUAUUGCACUCUACUUGUGUUGUGUCACCUCUUUCUUGGCCUUCGCCCUCUCACUGCGAGCCUCCUGCUCCUCCCACGCAGCACUCACUGAUUCAUAAGCCCAUCUACAAUGCUGCUUCCCAUGUACGUGCCCUCCUCCUCCUUCCGCCAAUUCUCUUCGAUGCGUGCACGUGUGUCUGAGCGGGUGACCGGGCGCGUGGGGGUGCUGUGCACCUUGGUGCUACGUAUCAGGGACGGCCUUCUUUUCUUCUUGUUCUCAGCACUUGUUGGUGAGGAUGACCUUCCUAAACCUCUCGGAUCUGCUCUCCGUCGGUGUCGACGAAGCGGCGUCUUUGCGUGCGCACUGGCGGGCGCGUUUCUAGUCCACCCCCCUCUCUCACUUCGUUUUCCAGGUGUGGGUCGCCUGCACAUUCACGCAGUGAGACGGACUGUCUAUCGUCCACGUGCUCAAGAGCAUCUCAAGAAGGACUAAAUGGAGGGAGAAAGAGAGAGAGUAGUGCGUGUGCCUAUCAGCACAGACACCGCGACGUGUGCACGCAUACACGGGUAGGCACUGAGGAACGCCUCCCAAUAUGCGUGCACGAGCACACGCAUACCUGCCAUCGCCAAUGGGACGGUAGCUCAGCAGACGCACCCGCAGAUUCGCAAUGUGUGAAGGGUACAGCAGCUGUGAUGCACCCAAGCCGGCGGACAGCGAGUGCUCACAGAUUGAGAUUGCAUGCUAGGUGAGCGGAGCCAACAGAAGCAGAAGCCAAUGGCGUGGCAUCCUCCCACUUCCGCAACUCAUGGCUGUUACUUUCCUCUUUACCAGAGGUGCCACAUAACGGUCCAUUCAUAAGCGUGUACUCGCGCACGUUUCGUCCAUCAUAUACGCCCCUGCCCCCCAUACACACACGAAAACACUCGCACGGAGGUGCAUCGCUGCGAUUCAUCUCCAUUCUACGGCUUAC